AUUGAACGCUGGCGGCAGGCCUAACACAUGCAAGUCGAACGAGUGGCGGACGGGUGAGUAAUGUCUGGGAAACUGCCCGAUGGAGGGGGAUAACUACUGGAAACGGUAGCUAAUACCGCAUACCAUCGGAUGUGCCCAGAUGGGAUUAGCUAGUAGGUGGGGUAACGGCUCACCUAGGAGACGAUCCCUAGCUGGUCUGAGAGGAUGACAGGACACACUGCAACGGAGACACGGACAAGACUCCUACGGGAGGCAGCAGUUGGGAAUAAUGCACAAUGGGCGCAAGCCUGAUGCAGCCAUGCCGCGUGUAUGAAGAAGGCCUUCGGGUUGUAAAGUACUUUCAGCGAGGAGGCGUUACUCGCAGAAUAAGCACCGGCUAACUCCGUGCCAGCCGCCGCGGUAAUUC
This 406-nucleotide ribosomal RNA is filed under the name uncultured bacterium. RNAcentral's name for it is "partial 16S ribosomal RNA". It matches the Rfam family "Bacterial small subunit ribosomal RNA", at positions 30 to 526 of the family's 1533-position model. The record is from RNAcentral.